AACGAACGCUGGCGGCAUGCCUAACACAUGCAAGUCGAACGAUGCUUUCGGGCAUAGUGGCGCACGGGUGCGUAACGCGUGGGAAUCUGCCCUUGGGUUCGGAAUAACAGUGAGAAAUUGCUGCUAAUACCGGAUGAUGUCUUCGGACCAAAGAUUUAUCGCCCAGGGAUGAGCCCGCGUAGGAUUAGCUAGUUGGUGGGGUAAUGGCCUACCAAGGCGACGAUCCUUAGCUGGUCUGAGAGGAUGAUCAGCCACACUGGGACUGAGACACGGCCCAGACUCCUAAGGAGGGCAGCAGGGGGGAAAAUGGGAAAAGGGGCGCAAGCCUGAUCCAGCAAGGCCGGGUGGGUGAUGAAGGCCUUAGGGUUGUAAAGCUCUUUUCCCCGGGAUGAUAAUGACGGGCCCGGGAGAAAAAGCCCCGGCUACCUCCGU
RNAcentral lists this ribosomal RNA (432 nucleotides) under uncultured bacterium. RNAcentral describes it as "partial 16S ribosomal RNA". It matches the Rfam family "Bacterial small subunit ribosomal RNA", at positions 29 to 506 of the family's 1533-position model. The record is from RNAcentral.